Molecule: ribosomal RNA, 631 nt
Filed under: uncultured archaeon
Lineage: Archaea
Description: bacterial SSU rRNA
Rfam family: Archaeal small subunit ribosomal RNA
Source: RNAcentral
GCCGGAGGCGACCGCUAUUGGAGUUCGNNUNNNNNNUGCGAGUAGAAAGAAAUUAGAUUCUUUGCAUACUGCUCAGUAACACGUGGAUAACCUGCCCUACACUUUGAGAUAAUCUCGGGAAACUGAGCAUAAUACCAAAUGGACCACUACGCCUGGAACGGUGAGUGGUUGAAAGCUCCGGCGGUGUAGGAUGGGUCUGCGGCGUAUCAGGUCGUAGGGGGUGUAACGGACCUCCUAGCCAUCGACGCGUACGGGUUGUGGGAGCAAUAGCCCGGAGACGGAUUCUGAGACACGAAUCCGGACCCUACGGGGUGCAGCAGGCGCGAAAACUUCACACUGCAGGAAACUGUGAUGAGGGAACUCCAAGUGCAUGCACAAUGUGUAUGCUUUUCUUGAAUCUUAAUAGUUCUUGGAAUAAGGGCUGGGAAAGACCGGUGCCAGCCGCCGCGGUAAUACCGGCAGCUCAAGUGGUCGUCGUUCUUAUUGGGCCUAAAACGUCCGUAGCCUGUUUGGUAAAUCUAUGGGUAAAUCAACGAGCUUAACUCGUUGAAUUCUGCAGAGACUGCCAGACUAGGGACCGGGAGAGGUAUGAGGUACUCUGGGGGUAGGGGUAAAAUCCUGUCAUCCUCAG